GAUCGGCGGGGUCCCCGAUCAGACGGUCAUCAACACCAACUUGGAGAAGCUGUGCAAGGUGCUCGACAUCUACGAGGCCAGGCUAUCCAAGACCAAGUACUUGGCUGGAGACUUCUUUAGCCUUGCAGACCUCAGUCACGUACCUUUGCUGUACUACUUCAUGGGCAGCCCUCAUGCAUCCGUCGUCAAUUCACGGCCGCAUGUUAAGGCAUGGUGGGAGGCUGUUUCGUCGAGGCCGGCGUGCAAGAAGGUGACCUCUGCGAUGCCUGGAUCUGCGUGAGAGGUAUCGGUUGGUGGCCAUGGAGAAGAGAGGAAAUGAAUAAAAGAGUCUGCUUCAGUUGUUGGUCUUACAAUCUGUGUUUGUGUUUGGGUGCCUGGAUGUGAGGCGUUUGUGCUGUGAGUCCCUGUCUAUUGAGACACUUGGUUGUGUUUAGGGUGGGAUGGUGGGUAAUAAAAUAUGCGAUGCAUCCAUCUUUUCUUGUGCCUACUUUGGUGUUUUAUAUGCAUUUUGGUCAUCCAGUUGACGAACAUGUGCAGAUGUCUUUUUUCUUUUCUUUUUUUAUUUUAUUAUUAUGUAAGAAAGAUGGUGGGAACGUGGUCUUUGGUUUCUUGAGUCCGAAACCUUCUGGAAAGCGAUGGCAACCAAAGACUUGACUUUCGAGUCCCUGUGAGACGACACGUUUGAGUGAUGGGACUGGGAGGGGAGACGUUAUGGUUACCGGAAGGGACUGGAAACUGGGGAUUUUAUGAGAAUAAAUUUUCUAUAUUUUAUGGGGAGG
This 779-nucleotide long non-coding RNA is filed under the name Elaeis guineensis (African oil palm). Its description in RNAcentral is "long non-coding RNA (EGUI_LNC035276)". Lineage: Eukaryota; Viridiplantae; Streptophyta; Magnoliopsida; Arecales; Arecaceae. The record is from RNAcentral.